RNAcentral lists this long non-coding RNA (537 nucleotides) under Fukomys damarensis (Damara mole-rat). Its description in RNAcentral is "lncRNA (ENSFDAG00000028670.1)". Lineage: Eukaryota; Metazoa; Chordata; Mammalia; Rodentia; Bathyergidae. The record is from RNAcentral.
UUUUGGUAAUAGUGAACUGAAACUGUACAGUAGCUCUAAGUAGAUAUCAAUAGAAUGAAUAGAUAUUAUUUGCUCUUUAUUCCGUUUAAAAUUCUCUAUCAAUCCUGGCUCUCUCCAUUGCUACAGAGCUGCUGCCUCCUCCAAGGGCUGCUUAAGCCUGUCCCUCUCCUCCUCACACAUUCCAUUAGAUGGAUAACGGUUUUGCCAUCUGCAGCUAUCAGGAGGCUGUGGUGUUGGGAGUAUGGUGCCAUGAAUAUACACAUUUGCAGCUGGACCACAGCUCCUUCCUCAAGGUGGCUAGAAGGUUCAUCUAAUGCACAGAAGGAGUGGACACAGCAAGUCCUUUUUGAGCACCAGUGUCCCCGAGUGAAUAAUAGCACUUCUGAAUCAAGGGAAUUCUUGAGGUGACCUAGAGUCAACUCUUUCAGUCUGACAUGGCCUGAGAAGUCAAAGUGACAGUUGUUGUUUAAGCAAUUCCUUUAAUAAAUUUAUAAACCAUAAAAUGCCAAGUGGAAAAAAUUCAUAGUUAUUAUAACC